Cavia porcellus (domestic guinea pig) is the source of this 1450-nucleotide long non-coding RNA. RefSeq lists it as uncharacterized. Lineage: Eukaryota; Metazoa; Chordata; Mammalia; Rodentia; Caviidae. The record is from RefSeq and is a predicted model, not a curated record. The transcript has 4 exons.
AGUCCUAAAAGCUUUCCAGAUAAGUUGGACUUGACUGACAGAGGCUGCCUGCAUCAUUUGGCAACCACACUUUUGAUUGCCACUUAUUUGGGGUUCUCUGCAGAAGAGAUAUCUAUCUUUGGAUGACUCUCUGUCGGGCACUCCUAGAACCUAAUGCAGAGCAGGACUACGGUGAUUCUGGGACUUCUGUUUGGCCUCGCAUACGGUGAUCUCAGCAGUCUUGAAGAAGGUUUAAAAGUGUGUUCCGAGAAGUGUGUUCCCGAGGAGACCAGAGUAGAAUUUGUAACAACAAAUCAACUGAGGCAUUUUUCAGUUCUUCCUCUGUUGAAAGCAUGCUUCUGAACAAAAUGAAUAAAACCUGUGCUACCCCACUGGUCAUGUUUGAAUCUACCAGCUGUGGACUGCUGUGGUCCCCCGAUGAUGGACAGAGUGUAAGGAAGACGUGGCAUUGGAACAAACUACCUUUGCAUUUCCACUAUGUAUGCAGAUCGUGCAUUUGAUGUCCUUCUCAGCACCCUUCUUUGGAUGGGUGUUGUCCCCUCCUCUUCGAGGAAAAAUUGAAUUUGUAUCCAUGUGUGUGUGAUAUAAAAGGCUCUGUCUUUCCUGUCAUCCCUUUAUAACAUAACGGGAUGCUUCUCUAAAAAUUUGAAAGUAGAAAGAGGAGUCAUAAGAAUCCUACAUGGAAGAAACUAAGUUUAAAAUAAUAUCAUACACCUGAAAUUUAAGACAAUGCUUGAUAAUAGCUUAGUUAACUAUGCUUUAACUAAAGAUUAAAAUUUUGUGUGAAUAAAUACAAUAAUUGCCAUAAAACAUGAAGUUUUAGAAACAACGUAAAGACCAGGGAUAGUUUUCAGGAAAAACAGAAAGCACCUGAAUUAGAUUCAAGUUUCAGAUCUAAAAAUCAUUGAUCUUUCAGUUUCAGUGCAGGAUGUUUCAGCUAUCUUUUGAAAACAUUCCCAAAUCUGAAGAGAGCAAUUGAAAUUUCUCUCCAGAAUGUUUUUUGAGACAUAAUUAUUUUUACCUAAUGUGGUUUUUUAUGUUUCAGAUUUGCUAAAUUUCAUCAAUUACAUCCACUUUUCAUCUUUUACUGGCUACAUGUUGUCAAUCUAGAAAACAUCUUGGUUUAAAUGUUGUCACAGAUCUUACUCUGUAAGAUAUUGAGUUAAUAGGGGCUGGGGAUUUAGCUUAGCGGCAUAAGUGCCUGCCUUGCAAGCAGGCGGUCGUGAGUUUGAUCCCUGGUACCGACAAAAAUGAAAAAAAAAAAAAAAAAAAAAAAAGAUAUUGACUUAGUUUUACAAAACCUGAAAAUGUAAACAGUUUUUUUUUUCUAAUGCCAUACCUAGAAUAGGGUACAUGUUUAAAGAAAUGUACAUGUGUGUGAAAAGAAAGAUUUAGAAACGCAGUUUGAAUCAGAGCUGUAAUAAAAGUUCACAUAUGUGUGCUAUUUAAA